RNAcentral lists this ribosomal RNA (400 nucleotides) under uncultured bacterium. Its description in RNAcentral is "bacterial SSU rRNA". It matches the Rfam family "Bacterial small subunit ribosomal RNA", at positions 356 to 773 of the family's 1533-position model. The record is from RNAcentral.
GGGGAAUAUUGCACAAUGGGCGAAAGCCUGAUGCAGCAACGCCGCGUGAGUGAAGAAGGUUUUCGGAUUGUAAAGCUCUGUCAUCUGGGACGAUAAUGACGGUACCAGAUGAGGAAGCCACGGCUAACUACGUGCCAGCAGCCGCGGUAAUACGUAGGGGGCAAGCGUUGUCCGGAAUUAUUGGGCGUAAAGCGCGCGCAGGCGGACAUUUAAGUGAGAUGUGAAAGACCCGGGCUUAACUUGGGCAGUGCAUUUCAAACUGGAUGUCUGGAGUGCAGGAGAGGAGAACGGAAUUCCUAGUGUAGCGGUGAAAUGCGUAGAGAUUAGGAAGAACACCAGUGGCGAAGGCGGUUCUCUGGACUGUAACUGACGCUGAGGCACGAAAGCGUGGGGAGCAAAC